CGGGUAGUAGUUCAGCCCGGUUAGAAUGCCUGCUUUGGGAGCAGGAGGUCGUGAGUUCGAAUCUCGCCUACCCGA
This 75-nucleotide transfer RNA is filed under the name Bacteroidales bacterium. RNAcentral's name for it is "tRNA-Pro". It matches the Rfam family "tRNA". From Rfam's summary of the family: Transfer RNA (tRNA) molecules are approximately 80 nucleotides in length. Their secondary structure includes four short double-helical elements and three loops (D, anti-codon, and T loops). Further hydrogen bonds mediate the characteristic L-shaped molecular structure. tRNAs have two regions of fundamental functional importance: the anti-codon, which is responsible for specific mRNA codon recognition, and the 3' end, to which the tRNAs corresponding amino acid is attached (by aminoacyl-tRNA synthetases). tRNAs cope with the degeneracy of the genetic code in two manners: having more than one tRNA (with a specific anti-codon) for a particular amino acid; and 'wobble' base-pairing, i.e. permitting non-standard base-pairing at the 3rd anti-codon position. RNAcentral also lists the same sequence under 2 other names. Lineage: Bacteria; Pseudomonadati; Bacteroidota; Bacteroidia; Bacteroidales. The record is from RNAcentral.